AAAAGACUUCCUGUCUUAUCUCCAGCCAAUCAACAUCUACCCCAGUGUCAUUCCUAUUGGCCGAACUCACGCUGAUGUCACGGAGCUGUUGAAGUCGAUGUGUAGGACGUGUCCUCUUCCGCUGUGAUCUACAGACCUCUGGGAACACUGAAACGCACCAGACCAGAGCAGCACACCCACGAUGUGGACUGUGCCGAUUGGCUGUUUGAGGGGGCGGACCUGGCCCC
Long non-coding RNA from Oncorhynchus keta (chum salmon), 227 nucleotides. RefSeq lists it as uncharacterized. The transcript is spliced from 3 exons. The record is from RefSeq and is a predicted model, not a curated record. Lineage: Eukaryota; Metazoa; Chordata; Actinopteri; Salmoniformes; Salmonidae.